UGCCAGCAGCCGCGGUAAUACGGAGGGUGCAAGCAUUGAUCGGAAUUACUGGGCGUAAAGCGCGCGUAGGUGGUGUGUUAAGUCGGAUGUGAAAGCCCCGGGCUCAACCUGGGAAUUGCAUUCGAUACUGGCAGACUUGAAUGCGGGAGAGGGAGGUAGAAUUCCAUGUGUAGCGGUGAAAUGCGUAGAUAUAUGGAGGAAUACCAGUGGCGAAGGCGGCCUCCUGGAUCGAUACUGACGCUGAGACGCGAAAGCGUGGGGAGCAAACAGGAUUAGAUA
RNAcentral lists this ribosomal RNA (279 nucleotides) under uncultured bacterium. RNAcentral describes it as "partial 16S ribosomal RNA". It matches the Rfam family "Bacterial small subunit ribosomal RNA", at positions 506 to 784 of the family's 1533-position model. The record is from RNAcentral.